ACGAAUUGCAGAACCUCGUGAAUCAUCAAAAUUUUGAACGCACAUUGCGUUUUUGGGUUAUUCCCAAGAGCAUGCUUAUCUGAGUGUCCCUAA
Molecule: ribosomal RNA, 93 nt
Filed under: uncultured Thalassiosira
Lineage: Eukaryota; Bacillariophyta; Thalassiosirophyceae; Thalassiosirales; Thalassiosiraceae
Description: partial 5.8S ribosomal RNA
Rfam family: 5.8S ribosomal RNA
About the family: 5.8S ribosomal RNA (5.8S rRNA) is a component of the large subunit of the eukaryotic ribosome.
Source: RNAcentral